CCUACGGGUGGCAGCAGUGGGGAAUAUUGCACAAUGGGCGCAAGCCUGACCCAGCAACGCCGCGUGAGGGAAGAAGUCCCUCGGGUUGUAAACUUCUAUUGUCAGGGACGAAGCAAGUGACGGUACCUGACGAAUAAGCCACGGCUAACUACGUCCCAGCCGCCGCGGUAAUACGUGGGUGGCCGGCGUUAUCCGGAUUUAUUGGGUUUAAAGGGUUCGUCGGCGGGCUUGUACGGCAGCGGUAACAAUUCGGGUGUCAACACCGUCCUGCCGUUGAAACUGGGGGGCUGGAGUGGGCGAGAAGAAGGCGGAAUGCGUGGUGUAGCGGUGAAAUGCAUAGAUAUCAGGCAGAACCCCGAUGGCGAAGGCAGCUUUCUGG
Molecule: ribosomal RNA, 379 nt
Filed under: uncultured bacterium
Lineage: Bacteria
Description: partial 16S ribosomal RNA
Rfam family: Bacterial small subunit ribosomal RNA
Source: RNAcentral